This is a long non-coding RNA of Xiphophorus hellerii (green swordtail), 923 nucleotides long. RefSeq lists it as uncharacterized. NCBI's taxonomy places the organism in Eukaryota, Metazoa, Chordata, Actinopteri, Cyprinodontiformes, Poeciliidae. The transcript is spliced from 3 exons. The record is from RefSeq and is a predicted model, not a curated record.
UUUCCUUUGGUGUCUUUAUCCAAAUGUAGCAUCACAGAACGAAGCUUAUAAAAACAGCCAUGUUGGAAGCUCUUUAAUUACCAAAAUGUACUGAAAUACAUCAUCUUAUGACUGAAAAUCUUAGUUUCAAACCCACUUUAUGAAUUUAGCUCUACCAUCUUCCUUUAGUUCUUCUUUUCACUGAAGCAGAAACUCGCUGCUAGACGAAGUUAAUUUCUCCUACACAGGAUCCUGCUCCUGUUCCACCUUAGAAAUGCUGGUUUUCCUCCAGGUUUUUCUGCCUUUGCUGCCAAGCAGCUCGUCUGGCAGCUCGUCAAACAGAAACGAGCUGCUGCCUCCCAGCAGUUUCUACUUUUUCCAGGAUUGCUUCUGCAACGUUGAACUCUAAAACAUCCCAGCAAGCAAAACAAGACAAGGAUUCGGAAGUUAAAAGUAAACAAAUUGGGAAAUGUUCCUUUCUGAGGACGGGAAAGAGAAUCACAUAUUUUCAUGGUUACACCCAAAAGACUGUUCAGGGCAGCAGGAGUCCAUCCUCUCCUCUCCUCCCUCCCUUCUGUUCUCACUCCAUUGCUUCCAAUACGGAGAAGAUAAAUCACAUGCCAUGGAGCCAUUGUUGUGAGGGGAAAUAGAUGGGGCAUUUGUUGACAAAACUCAUUUUCCCACUUCCAGAUGCAGUUCGCUGGACACGCCUUUCUUUCUGUGUCGCCGGUUUGUCUUGACAAAUGUGUGUGUUUGGUGGUGGGACUGGUCAAAACACACACAUCCAUGAGCAUGUCCUACUAAGACAACCCUCAACCUUUCACUCACACUUACGUAUUUUCACACUUCGUAGAUUCGGUUCGAUUGGGGACAAAAAUGUCAACUUUCGUUUCAUUUUCAGCUGUUGUUCGCGUUUUGAAAACCUGUUCCCCUCCUCGCCUGUG